RNAcentral lists this unclassified non-coding RNA (311 nucleotides) under Hevea brasiliensis (rubber tree). The record is from RNAcentral. Lineage: Eukaryota; Viridiplantae; Streptophyta; Magnoliopsida; Malpighiales; Euphorbiaceae.
UUGAGAAAGAGGUCAGGCAAAUAACAAAGAAUAGAUUCAGAACAUGAGUCCUCCUAGACAGUACAAACACCUUCCAUUUUGGUUUUGGUUGGGGGUGUUGUUCAAGUAAAUUUCCAAAAAUUAAGUAGUUAAAUCCCCACAAAACGCCAACCAUAAAUCUACAACAAAAACAGAACUUCGCUUCUGUGAAAGAAUAUCACGCUAGGAAAAUUUCACAAACAAAAGCCAAUGGGGGGAAAAAUAAUUCUUUGUUUCUUUGUCAAAGGCUGCCACGCAUCUUUCUGAUGCUUGCUUUGCGCUGAUAGUAGCAA